This 591-nucleotide ribosomal RNA is filed under the name uncultured Mycobacterium sp. RNAcentral describes it as "bacterial SSU rRNA". It matches the Rfam family "Bacterial small subunit ribosomal RNA", at positions 35 to 643 of the family's 1533-position model. Lineage: Bacteria; Bacillati; Actinomycetota; Actinomycetes; Mycobacteriales; Mycobacteriaceae. The record is from RNAcentral.
GCUGGCGGCGUGCUUAACACAUGCAAGUCGAACGGUAAGGCCCUUCGGGGUACACGAGUGGCGAACGGGUGAGUAACACGUGGGUGAUCUGCCCUGCACUUCGGGAUAAGCCUGGGAAACUGGGUCUAAUACCGGAUAGGACCAUGGGAUGCAUGUUCUGUGGUGGAAAGCUUUUGCGGUGUGGGAUGGGCCCGCGGCCUAUCAGCUUGUUGGUGGGGUGAUGGCCUACCAAGGCGACGACGGGUAGCCGGCCUGAGAGGGUGACCGGCCACACUGGGACUGAGAUACGGCCCAGACUCCUACGGGAGGCAGCAGUGGGGAAUAUUGCACAAUGGGCGCAAGCCUGAUGCAGCGACGCCGCGUGAGGGAUGACGGCCUUCGGGUUGUAAACCUCUUUCAGCACCGACGAAGCGAAAGUGACGGUAGGUGCAGAAGAAGGACCGGCCAACUACGUGCCAGCAGCCGCGGUAAUACGUAGGGUCCGAGCGUUGUCCGGAAUUACUGGGCGUAAAGAGCUCGUAGGUGGUUUGUCGCGUUGUUCGUGAAAACCCACAACUCAAUUGUGGGCGUGCGGGCGAUACGGGCAGACUG